UACGUAGGGGGCUAGCGUUGUCCGGAAUCAUUGGGCGUAAAGCGCGCGUAGGCGGCCAGAUAAGUCCGGUGUGAAAGUCACAGGCUCAACCUGUGAAUGCCGCUGGAAACUGUCUGGCUUGAGUCCGGAAGGGGCGAGUGGAAUUCCUGGUGUAGCGGUGAAAUGCGCAGAUAUCAGGAGGAACACCGGUGGCGAAGGUGGGUCUCUGGGCCGAUACUGACGCUGAGGAGCGAAAGCGUGGGGAGCGAACAGG
This 253-nucleotide ribosomal RNA is filed under the name uncultured bacterium. RNAcentral's name for it is "partial 16S ribosomal RNA". It matches the Rfam family "Bacterial small subunit ribosomal RNA", at positions 524 to 776 of the family's 1533-position model. The record is from RNAcentral.